Molecule: long non-coding RNA, 599 nt
Organism: Nicotiana attenuata
Lineage: Eukaryota; Viridiplantae; Streptophyta; Magnoliopsida; Solanales; Solanaceae
Exons: 3
Source: RefSeq, a predicted model, not a curated record
UAUCAACAGGUUUAAGAAUGUCAUCUUUUUGUGGUCUUUUAAUAGACUUGUCUUAGUAUGAUUUUCAGUUUUUAUAUAUUCUGAUCAAGUUACGACACAUAGUUAAUGAUUGUUCAGAGAUUAUUGCUAGAGGAGCUGCUUCUUACGCCGAGAGGGGGCUCGGGAAGUCUAUGCAUGUAGUCCACAUGUGUGUUUUUAGCUCUCCGGCGAUUCAAACACUAUCAAGUGAAGUUAUUUGAAAAAGUCGUCGUCACGGAUACUAUCCCCAUUGGAGAUAAGCAUUUUCCCCAGUUCACUGUGUUAUCUAUGGAAGAUGUGCUGGGGAAAGCAAUUUCAGGCGUACACGAUGACUUCAGAGGUGGCAGGUAGAUGGUCCAUCAGACCAAGAAUCACCUAAACUAGGAAUGCUCCCUUAUUGAUUUUGUUGAUCUGAAAGACUAUGUAUAGUUUUGGUGUUGUAAUAGAUCGCAUCUAGAUUUUAGUUUUGGUGUUAUAAUAGAUUGCAUCUAGAUUUUGUUUCAUAUUGUUUGGUAUUAUGUUUUGUUUUGGUGUUGUUGAACUAAGACUUUGUUUCCUAUUAUCUCUAUCACUUCUAGCUA